ACAAGAACGGGGAUGAUGGUGAAGUCCCUGCAGAUACUGUGUUCCGGAAUUGGUCGUCGUCACCGACGUCA
RNAcentral lists this non-coding RNA (71 nucleotides) under uncultured Nitzschia. The record is from RNAcentral. Lineage: Eukaryota; Bacillariophyta; Bacillariophyceae; Bacillariales; Bacillariaceae.